CGAAUUCGCCCUUAGAGUUUGAUCAUGGCUCAGGAUGAACGCUGGCGGCGUGCCUAAUACAUGCAAGUCGAGCGAACGGACGAGAAGCUUGCUUCUCUGAUGUUAGCGGCGGACGGGUGAGUAACACGUGGAUAACCUACCUAUAAGACUGGGAUAACUUCGGGAAACCGGAGCUAAUACCGGAUAAUAUUUUGAACCGCAUGGUUCAAAAGUGAAAGACGGUCUUGCUGUCACUUAUAGAUGGAUCCGCGCUGCAUUAGCUAGUUGGUAAGGUAACGGCUUACCAAGGCAACGAUGCAUAGCCGACCUGAGAGGGUGAUCGGCCACACUGGAACUGAGACACGGUCCAGACUCCUACGGGAGGCAGCAGUAGGGAAUCUUCCGCAAUGGGCGAAAGCCUGACGGAGCAACGCCGCGUGAGUGAUGAAGGUCUUCGGAUCGUAAAACUCUGUUAUUAGGGAAGAACAUAUGUGUAAGUAACUGUGCACAUCUUGACGGUACCUAAUCAGAAAGCCACGGCUAACUACGUGCCAGCAGCCGCGGUAAUACGUAGGUGGCAAGCGUUAUCCGGAAUUAUUGGGCGUAAAGCGCGCGUAGGCGGUUUUUUAAGUCUGAUGUGAAAGCCCACGGCUCAACCGUGGAGGGUCAUUGGAAACUGGAAAACUUGAGUGCAGAAGAGGAAAGUGGAAUUCCAUGUGUAGCGGUGAAAUGCGCAGAGAUAUGGAGGAACACCAGUGGCGAAGGCGACUUUCUGGUCUGUAACUGACGCUGAUGUGCGAAAGCGUGGGGAUCAAACAGGAUUAGAUACCCUGGUAGUCCACGCCGUAAACGAUGAGUGCUAAGUGUUAGGGGGUUUCCGCCCCUUAGUGCUGCAGCUAACGCAUUAAGCACUCCGCCUGGGGAGUACGACCGCAAGGUUGAAACUCAAAGGAAUUGACGGGGACCCGCACAAGCGGUGGAGCAUGUGGUUUAAUUCGAAGCAACGCGAAGAACCUUACCAAAUCUUGACAUCCUUUGACAACUCUAGAGAUAGAGCCUUCCCCUUCGGGGGACAAAGUGACAGGUGGUGCAUGGUUGUCGUCAGCUCGUGUCGUGAGAUGUUGGGUUAAGUCCCGCAACGAGCGCAACCCUUAAGCUUAGUUGCCAUCAUUAAGUUGGGCACUCUAAGUUGACUGCCGGUGACAAACCGGAGGAAGGUGGGGAUGACGUCAAAUCAUCAUGCCCCUUAUGAUUUGGGCUACACACGUGCUACAAUGGACAAUACAAAGGGCAGCGAAACCGCGAGGUCAAGCAAAUCCCAUAAAGUUGUUCUCAGUUCGGAUUGUAGUCUGCAACUCGACUACAUGAAGCUGGAAUCGCUAGUAAUCGUAGAUCAGCAUGCUACGGUGAAUACGUUCCCGGGUCUUGUACACACCGCCCGUCACACCACGAGAGUUUGUAACACCCGAAGCCGGUGGAGUAACCUUUUAGGAGCUAGCCGUCGAAGGUGGGACAAAUGAUUGGGGUGAAGUCGUAACAAGGUAACAAGGGCGAAUU
This 1536-nucleotide ribosomal RNA is filed under the name uncultured Staphylococcus sp. RNAcentral describes it as "partial 16S ribosomal RNA". It matches the Rfam family "Bacterial small subunit ribosomal RNA". Lineage: Bacteria; Bacillati; Bacillota; Bacilli; Caryophanales; Staphylococcaceae. The record is from RNAcentral.